RNAcentral lists this ribosomal RNA (253 nucleotides) under uncultured bacterium. RNAcentral's name for it is "partial 16S ribosomal RNA". It matches the Rfam family "Bacterial small subunit ribosomal RNA", at positions 524 to 776 of the family's 1533-position model. The record is from RNAcentral.
UACGUAGGGGGCAAGCGUUGUCCGGAUUUAUUGGGCGUAAAGAGCGUGUAGGCGGCCAGGUAGGUCUGCUGUGAAAACUCGAGGCUUAACCUCGACCUGUCGGCGGAAACCAUCUGGCUAGAGUCCGGAAGAGGAGAAUGGAAUUCCCGGUGUAGCGGUGAAAUGCGCAGAUAUCGGGAAGAACACCCGUGGCGAAGGCGGUUCUCUGGGACGGUACUGACGCUGAGACGCGAAAGCGUGGGGAGCGAACAGG